GACGAACGCUGGCGGCGUGCCUAAUACAUGCAAGUAGAACGCUGAAGCGAGGAGCUUGCUCUUCUUGGAUGAGUUGCGAACGGGUGAGUAACGCGUAGGUAACCUGCCUUGUAGCGGGGGAUAACUAUUGGAAACGAUAGCUAAUACCGCAUAACAAUGGAUGACCCAUGUCAUUUAUUUGAAAGGGGCAAAUGCUCCACUACAAGAUGGACCUGCGUUGUAUUAGCUAGUAGGUGAGGUAACGGCUCACCUAGGCGACGAUACAUAGCCGACCUGAGAGGGUGAUCGGCCACACUGGGACUGAGACACGGCCCAGACUCCUACGGGAGGCAGCAGUAGGGAAUCUUCGGCAAUGGGGGCAACCCUGACCGAGCAACGCCGCGUGAGUGAAGAAGGUUUUCGGAUCGUAAAGCUCUGUUGUAAGUCAAGAACGAGUGUGAGAGUGGAAAGUUCACACUGUGACGGUAGCUUACCAGAAAGGGACGGCCAACUACGUG
RNAcentral lists this ribosomal RNA (497 nucleotides) under uncultured bacterium. Its description in RNAcentral is "partial 16S ribosomal RNA". It matches the Rfam family "Bacterial small subunit ribosomal RNA", at positions 28 to 507 of the family's 1533-position model. The record is from RNAcentral.